UAAUUUAAUUAAUUAAUUGAUUUUAUCUGAUUUUGUGAAAGUGUUCCACAUGGAAUCAACCACUUCCACACUAAAAGCCACGCCCAAAUAAUUUUGCACGGCCCAUUUAUUUUAUGUUAAGGAAGGAGAGUCCUUUAAUACUCCUCUUAAUUUCAUUACAUGUUCCACUUGUCCCUUAUAAUAUGCGCCAUAAGAUGAUGCCUAGAGACUUGUGGGCGUGAAGGAUUUGGGGGAGUCCUUUUGGAAGGAACUCCAUGCCAAAUAUUGAAGGGAUGCCUCCUUUAUUUUGGGCAUUGAAGUGGAAGAGUCCACUUCACUUGGGACUCUUUAUUUCUCCUUCAUUCUAUGCAUUUUCUUCCCUCCACCGGCCAUUUGAUGGCUUCUGGGAUAAUGUUGGCACAGAAGUGGAAGAGUCCUUCUGCUUGAAGGCUCUUCCACACCCAAAAACUUCUAUAUAUUAAUUGAUCCUUUAUGGGAAGUUAUGGACGGCACAUAGGAUGUGUUUGCGCCAAAUAUUUAUUUCUCCCUAAAUCUUUUCUUUAUUACAUGUCAAUUUUUUUGAGAUCUGAGAAGGAAGAGUCCUUCUGCUCCUUGACUUCUCCACGCCACAUCUUAAUGUGGUAAUUUUAACGUGUGAAGGAGUUGGGACGCCAAGAGUUGGCAUCCCUUGGAGGUUGUUUGGUGCCCCUUGGUUACCUAUAAAUAGGGGGUGCUACAACCAGGUUUCAUGUCCCUUUUUGGCUGGGAAUUGGCAUGAGGAUGAGAGAAAAUUGAGAGAAAAAUGCCUGGAUAAAGACCAAGGAUAAGGGAAGGAAAAAUAGAAAAAAAGAGAGGAAGCGAAAUGGAAAGUAUGAGAUACUUGUCCAAAAAUCAGAUUGUUCAUGUGUUGAACAUAAAAUUUGAUUAGAGUGUGGUUUGAAACUUUAGGAAAGAGUUUCUAGAGUGGUCCUAGUGAAGGUGAUGAAGGCAAACAAGCAAUGGUACAACCUGCUCUUGCAAAGGACGGUCGGCAGUGCACUUGCGAAGAAGGCUGCAGCACCAUGACG
RNAcentral lists this long non-coding RNA (1046 nucleotides) under Elaeis guineensis (African oil palm). Its description in RNAcentral is "long non-coding RNA (EGUI_LNC042128)". Lineage: Eukaryota; Viridiplantae; Streptophyta; Magnoliopsida; Arecales; Arecaceae. The record is from RNAcentral.